Chelonia mydas (Green sea turtle) is the source of this 156-nucleotide long non-coding RNA. RefSeq lists it as uncharacterized. The record is from RefSeq and is a predicted model, not a curated record. Lineage: Eukaryota; Metazoa; Chordata; Testudines; Cheloniidae. The transcript has 3 exons.
UAAUAAGCAAAUGAUCAGCAAGUGACGAGAUGGUUCCUGUCGCUUCAACUCUUCCACUUCAGACUACAACAUAGGUCUGGAAUCCAACAUGGCAAUGCGGAUGGCCUGUUGAGAGUGCACUGUUUGCCGACUCAAGUAGCCCAACCCCGUAGUGUU